Non-coding RNA from Pelobates cultripes (western spadefoot toad), 307 nucleotides. NCBI's taxonomy places the organism in Eukaryota, Metazoa, Chordata, Amphibia, Anura, Pelobatidae. The record is from the annotation of a GenBank genome assembly.
GAUGGUGUUCUACAAAGAAUGGCUGAUGCUUUUCUUGGGCCUUGGGACUUUCUGGUGUAUUUCAGAUUGUCUGGGGAAAACUGCAGCUCUGAAAAAACUCAGUUCAAAUAAACCUAAAACUGCAAGACAGGUUCUUGUGGGACAAACACGUCAACAUGGGGAAGACCCUCCAUCUUUGGAAGAUGCAGAGAAAGAGCAGGGAUAUUAUCUCCAGCAACUGUUCCAUCUCUAUGGGGAGAAUGAUACCUUGUCUUAUCGUGGACUUACUCAGCUUCUACAAAAUCUAGGACUUGGCAAAGUGCAGGUA